AGAGUUUGAUCCUGGCUCAGGACGAACGCUGGCGGCGUGCUUAACACAUGCAAGUCGAACGAGAAUCUGUGGAUCGAGGAUUCGUCCAAGUGAAGCAGAGGACAGUGGCGGACGGGUGAGUAACGCGUGAGCAACCUGCCUUUCAGAGGGGGAUAACAUUUGGAAACAGAUGCUAAUACCGUAUAAGAUUACAGUACCGCAUGAUACAGUGAUCAAAGGAGCAAUCCGCUGAAAGAUGGGCUCGCGUCCGAUUAGAUAGUUGGUGAGGUAACGGCUCACCAAGUCGACGAUCGGUAGCCGGACUGAGAGGUUGAACGGCCACAUUGGGACUGAGACACGGCCCAGACUCCUACGGGAGGCAGCAGUGGGGAAUAUUGCACAAUGGGCGAAAGCCUGAUGCAGCAACGCCGCGUGAGGGAAGACGGUUUUCGGAUUGUAAACCUCUGUUUUCGGUGACGAAUAAAUGACGGUAACCGAGUAGGAAGCCACGGCUAACUACGUGCCAGCAGCCGCGGUAAUACGUAGGUGGCAAGCGUUAUCCGGAAUUACUGGGUGUAAAGGGAGCGCAGGCGGGAUAGCAAGUCAGCUGUGAAAACUAUGGGCUCAACCCAUAAACUGCAGUUGAAACUGUUAUUCUUGAGUGGAGUAGAGGCAAGCGGAAUUCCGAGUGUAGCGGUGAAAUGCGUAGAUAUUCGGAGGAACACCAGUGGCGAAGGCGGCUUGCUGGGCUCUAACUGACGCUGAGGCUCGAAAGUGUGGGGAGCAAACAGGAUUAGAUACCCUGGUAGUCCACACUGUAAACGAUGAUUGCUAGGUGUGGGGGGUCUGACCCCCUCCGUGCCGGAGUUAACGCAAUAAGCAAUCCACCUGGGGAGUAC
RNAcentral lists this ribosomal RNA (878 nucleotides) under uncultured bacterium. RNAcentral describes it as "bacterial SSU rRNA". It matches the Rfam family "Bacterial small subunit ribosomal RNA", at positions 8 to 883 of the family's 1533-position model. The record is from RNAcentral.